Long non-coding RNA from Ruditapes philippinarum (Manila clam), 18121 nucleotides. RefSeq lists it as uncharacterized. The record is from RefSeq and is a predicted model, not a curated record. Lineage: Eukaryota; Metazoa; Mollusca; Bivalvia; Venerida; Veneridae. The transcript is spliced from 2 exons.
CCAUUAACAUUUUUAGAAUUCCAUUCUGUUCAUCCAAUGAUAGUCAUGUUCGUAAAUCAAAUAAAGUUGUGUAUAUGCAUACGCAUUCAAGCGAAAAAUGGUUAACGUUACAUAUAAAUAAGAAAUAAAUAUAUUGAUUUUUAUUUCAUUUGCGGAUGUAUUUUACCCACAUAUUAUGUUACAUGCAUUGAACUAUGAGGCAGGGAGAAACUGCAUACCUUAAAAAUGAGAGAUUGCAUUAAUCUAACGUAUGAUUCUGACCUCUUCAACAUAUUAAUUCAAUUAAAUGGGGGGGGGGGGGUAUUUCACAUACACGUAAAAGCGUGUCUGUAUAUUUUCUUCGAAAGACCCCUGUGCAAAUGGCUAUACUUCAUUCAUAUCCUAAAAACAUGUUUAUCAUACUUAAAUUGUUAAAAAUAUAAUGCAAUAUCAUACUUCAAAAACAAAAACUUAAUGACCAAAUUUCCUUUUUCUCUUAUAGAUAAAUAAGUUAGACAAUUGAAUAAUAAACUCAUUUAAAGAAAUAGUGUUGCCGGAAAGAUUCUCCUAGACAAUCAAAACUUUACUGCAACAAAAAAUGUAGACGAAAAAGAAGAAAUAAGCACGGAAACAUAAAAAGUAGAUUCUUGAAAUACAACGUGGUUAAAAUUCGGCAGCAUCCAAUUCAACAUAGCAAUUGUUUGAGCAGUAUUCAGUGCUUCUGCAGAGUUCCAUUAAAAUUGAGAUAACAACAUUUUUAUUUGUUUUCGCAGACAAAUUAUAUGUUCUGAUUUAUGCAUCAUUCAGAUGACACUCUAGACAGAAUCUUUUUGAAAAUGUUUACAUCAAAAAUAAUAAAUACUUAUUCCGAAAUGAUUUGAUUUGAGAAGAUGAACGAUGAAGGAAAAGAUUUGAUAAUGUCAUAUCAGUAUAACAUUUUGUUAACCACAAACGAGAGAGAUGCCCGAAUAUUGAACGAGAACAAACGAGAGAGAUGCCCGAAUAUUGAACGAGAACAAACGAGAGAGAUGCCCGAAAAUUGAACGAGACUAAACUUUCUGUUAACCACAAACGAGAGAAAUGCCCGAAUAUUGAACGAGACUAAACUUUCUGUUAACCACAAACGAGAGAGAUGUCCGAAUAUUGAACGAGAGUAAACUUUCUGUUAACCACAAACGAGAGAGAUGCCCGAAUAUUGAACGAGAGUAAACUUUCGCUGUCUUACCAUUUUAGAGCUAGAGGAACUUCCUCCAGUUUCUAUUCAAAUUGUAUUUUGAACCUUACCAGAUCCAAAUCGAAAUGACUCUUGGAAAGUAAAUAUAUUAUAACUAUAAAAGCGUUGAUAAGAAAAGCAUAUAUUGGGGAAAAAAUUUAUGACAAGUCCUUUCUGUGUGUGUUCUAUGAUAGUUAAACAAUUAUCAUUCAUUUUGUUAGAGAAGUUCUAUAGGAAACUUUAAAACCUGCGUUUAUAUAAGUAUUUAUUUACAAUAUAAUUUAGUCUUGGUCUGAUGAUGAAGAAAAAAAUGAUGUGUGCAAAAAAAAACGUGGUAGGCCGCGGGCCACUCCGAAUGAAGAUAUAAAAAACUUCACAAAUGGAGAGAUCCGACGUUUUAUUAAAAGCUACAAGAAAUAUGGUGAUCCACUGUCACGGUUAAUUGAUAUUGCUGGUGACGCAGGUUUAAAACAAUCACAUUCUGAACUGAGAAAGUUGGCAGAAGAACUCAAAUCCUCCUGUGAACAAGUACACCAGUACUAAACUACCUUCCUCCUUGCUAAACUAUGAAAAACAAGAUCAACAAGGAAAGGCGGCGUUCAAUGAACGCAACCCCCAUAUGACCCAGCAACAAUAACCAAUGGCAAGGAGCCCAGGCGGACCCCAAACAUAAAAAGGACAGGGCAACGACACGUUAAUCAUUAAAUGAUAAAUAAUUUGUAACUGAUUAGGAAUUCAAAGAAAUUAAUAAUUGGCCCACAAAGGGGAAGGGGACAGAAGACCGGGGGGAACGGGGGGGGUUAAUCAAAGAAAUAAAAACUAGAGGCAAUGGGGAAGAUACUUACCGUAGACGAGAAAACAACAAGGGACACAAGCAAAAGUGUCACCAAAACAGUAUGAAACAACAUAGACAUACAUCUGAGGAACACAGUGGGGUGCCGCCUUGGAACGGUCAGCAGCAUAAUAAUGACUGCUGGGGAGUUUAAACCGGUUAAUGGUGCACCAAACCUCGCUCUUAGCCCCACCAUGUUCCUAUAAACGAGACAGUGUAAAUAAAAUGAAUCCCCGCCAAGUGAAAUUCUAACAGUUGUCAUGGUUACAAAAGGUUAAAUAAGUAAAACACUAAAAUGAUCAUGUAGAAACAUAUAAAAGUAAACCCAAUGACCAUAAGAAAAGUACUCAAUGUCCUAAAGGAAGACAGAGCAACAAGAAAAUCACCUACAAGGGCCCGACGAAGCAAGGCAGAAGACGAACAUUAAGACAAUUCAGUCCCAAAGGGCUUUACGAACUAUCCAUCAUAGAGUCUCCCACUUGGUCCGUCAGAUGCAAUCAAAAGAGGAAAGCGUAGUGUCCAACUGUAAAAGGGUUGAACACUAAACAUGCAGUAUGUCUUAAAAUAGUAGGGUCAUAACCUCUUUUAAUAAAACGUUUAAUGAGUUUAGUAAAAACAGCAGAAAAAUUACCAUGACCCAAAAUCUUACGAAGUUUGUAAACCACCUCGCCAUAAAAACCAGGCUGGCUAAUCCCUUGUCGCAGAAGAGUUUUUAAAUCACUAUUGAAUUUAGAAAUUAAAUCAAAGUUACGAUUGUAAGCAUCUCCCGGGGAUCGAACCCACGCCAGAGAGGUAACUGGAUUAGAAGUCAUCGACUCUAACCCCUCGACCACGGAGGCGGUCUUUAGAAAAAGUAAAAAAAUAUUGAGCAUUGCCCCUGCCCAACAGUAGAUCUUAUAAUUUCAUUAAGUUUACAAAUGCAGAGGAAUACGACCUAGACAGUAUUACGAAAACAACAUAUAUUGUCCACCAUUCUGGCCCGAAAAUAUCAAUUUUCGUAGCCAAAACACAUGUAAAAAUCAAAAAAGAAAUGUUCUUAAAUUAUCAUAUUUAUGUUUUAUUUGUCAGGAAAACAUUUUUCUAAUAAUAUAAUAAUCAAGUUAAGUACAAAAUAUGUUGCAUUUGUGUCGUAUCAUAAUGACUUUAUUUUAUUUUUAAUACUCAAGUAGAGAUAAAAAGAAAUAUUCGGAGGCUGUAUUGUUGAGAACUCAGCAGGUGUCAAGUGCUGUGUGGCAGCCGUAAAAAAUUGCCCCGUACUUCACUUCAGUGUUGUUAUGUUUUCUGGUCCUUCGGGAUCAUUGGUGGUGUCAACACUAUAAAGUGUUGAGAAUUGAGUACCGCUCAAGCCGGUGCUAGGGGGCGUGAGGGAUGUUGCACUUAUUCAUUAUCCGUCAUGUACAGACUCAAUCAAACCGGGUCUGCAAUUCUUACGUUAUUAUGUUGUGAUUAAUGUUUCCGAGGGAUCACUUUGUUUCCAGAAUUUUGUACUUCACAACAGCAGGUGUCAAGUGCUGUGUGGCAGCCGUAAAAAGUUGCCCCGUACUUCAAUUCAGUGUUGUUAUAUUUUCUGGUCCUUUGGGAUCAUUUGUGCCAACAUUAUAAAGUGUUGAGAAUUGAGUACCACUCAAGCCGGUGCUAGGGUGUGUGAGGGAUGUUGCACUUAUUCAUUAUCCCUCAUGUACAGACUCAAUCAAACCGAGUCUGCAGUUUUACGUUAUUAUGUUGUGAUUAAUGUUUCCGAGGGAUCACUUUGUUUCCAGAAUUUCAUAUGAUUAUGUAAAUAAAAUUACUUAUUUGUUAACAUAAGGGCCAUGAUGGCCCUGAAGUCAUUCACCUGUAUAUAGGCGCCGGAGCGGGGCCAGUUUUAACCCCGGGUUUUUUUAUUUGAACAAACAUUAGAAGAUGCUUCAUGCCAAACAUCUAAUGUCUAGCUCGUUGGGUUUUUUAUAAGAAGAUUUUUCAAAAGUUUUUUUCUUUACACAUAUUGUUAAAAAAAUAAUGAAACACCUGGGGCAGGGCCAGUUUUGACACCAGGGCUUUUUUUUAAACAAUCUUUGUAGGCACUUACUUAAAAAUAUUUCAUGCUUAAUAUCUUAAAUCAAGGUAUUCGGGUUUUUUCUAAGAAGAUUUUUGAGUUGGGUGGUUCCAAUAUUCUUACCUACUUGAAUAAUGUUGAAUCACCCUUGGGAUAUGUUGCCUGCUUUUUAAAUUUGUAUUUUGACGUCUUAUCUGUGAUACGCAGGCUUCAUAACCUCUGAUUCCCUUUCCAAAUUCCAUUUUAUUUAGUUCCGCCCAUUGUUUUCUCGUUUAGGGCACACGCAUUUUAUUACUUGGGGACCAUACGCCGCUUUUCAUGGAAUGGCACGGAAGUGUCACAUUGAAGGUUCAAUGAUAACCGCCGUAUGAACACAUCUGCGGAUGUUUCUAAAUUCAAAAUUUUACUAUUUCACGUUUAAAUGUUGAAUUCUGCUUAAGCCGGUGCUACGGGGCGUGGACGAUAACUUGCAUUAUCCAGUACCGUCCAUGAACAGGCUCAAUCAAACCAAGCCUGCAACAUUUUCAAUUUUGCCGUGUUGAGCUUUUUUAGGGAUUCUGUAUUUAUCUAUUUGCUAUACAUAUAUAAGGAAAAUCAAUGUACCCCGGGGCGGGACCAAUUUUGGCCAAAGGGCUUUUAUUUGAACAAUCCUGGUAGACACUCAAUAGAAGAUGUUUCAUGCUUAGUAUCUAAAUUCUAGCUAUUUGUUUUGUUUUUUUUUCAAUAGAAGAAUUUUUUAAGUUUUUGCAAUACACAUAUAAGGAAAAUCAAUGACCCCUAGGUCAGGGCCAAUUUUGACCCCAGGGCUUUUAAGUGUUGAGAAUUGAGUACCGCUCAAGCCGGUGCUAGGGGGCGUGAGGGAUGUUGCACUUAAUCAUUAUCUCUCAUGUACAGACUCAAUCAAACCGAGUCUGCAAUUCUUAUGUAAUUUUGUUGUGAUUAAUGCCUCCGAGGGAUCACUUUGUUUCAAGAAUUUUAUCUGAACAAACUUGUUAAGUUGGUAGACACCCAUUAGAAGAUAUUUCAUGCUAAACAACUUAGCUCUAGCUCUUUGGGUUCCUUCAAAGAAGAUUUUGUAUGUUUCUACUUUAUGCAUAUAGGGAAAAUAAAUGACCCCAUGGGGCGUGGCCAAUUUUGACUAAAGGGCUUUUAUUUCAACAACAUUUGUAGACACUCACUAGAAGAUGUUUCAUGCCAAAAAUCUAACCUCUAGCUUGUUGGGUUUUUUAGAAGAAGAUAUUUGAAGUUUUAUCUUAUGGAUGCCAUGGCAACCAAAGUUCUGCAUGGAAUUUAAUUAUUUGAACAAUUUGCAAAGGUGACCACCAAAGGAACAUUCCUGUGAAGUUUGGAUGAAAUUGGCUGAGUGGUUGAUGAGGAGAUGUCAUUUAAAGUAAAAGUUUACGGACGGACUGAUGGACGACGGACGGACGGACGAAAAGCGAUCACAAAAGCUCACCCUGUCACUUUGUGACAGAUGAGCUAAAAAAGUAAACAAAUGUUCAUGGACGGUACAGGAAAGUGCAAGUUACCGUACACGCCCCCUAGCACCGGUUAAGCAGAAUUCAACAUUUAAACAUGAAAUAGUAAAAUUUUGAAUUUAGAAACAUCCGCAGAUGUGUUCAUACGGCGGCGUAUGGUCCCCAAGUAAUAAAAAGCGUGUGCCUUAAACGAGUAAACAAUGGGCGGAACUAAAUAAAAUGGAAUUUUGAAAGGGGAUCAGAGGUUAUGAAGCCUGCAUAUCACAGAUAAGACGUCAAAAGACAAAUUUAAAAAGCAGGCAACAUACCCUUAGGGUGAUUUAACAUUAUUCAAGUGGGAAUAUUGGAACCACCCAACUAGAAAAUGCCGAAAAGUUGAAGCUAAAAAUACCACAAGCACAACAAAGAUGUCGUGCUGAACGAUCUUUAAGGAUCGAAAAUAUAACAUCAUUGAUUGAGGUAUGACCCACCUAAUGCAUUACCUCCACUUUGAAGAGUACUCAAAUAGGCUAGAACUAUAGCCAACUGCAUUGAAACUGAGGGGCGCGGGUUCAAGCCCCAGAAGAGGCAACUUUUAAUUCUUUCUUUUUGUUUUCUUUGAACAUUUUUUGUGUCUCUCAGAUCACUCUUGAUAAGAAAAAAAGUGUUUUAUUUUAAUUAUAAAAUUAUUAUUGGUAUUUAUUGGCUAAAUUGUGCCAUACUUAUUAUCAAAUAGUAUUUUAUAUUUGACAAGCACAUCCAUUAUAUUUUAAAGAAAAUUUAUGCAAACUUUGUAAACAGCCCCUUAUUUGAGUAAAUUUUAGGGAUAUUUGAAUAAGGCCCUCCAAGUAGAAAAAUGAUCAAACAACUACUUAAAAUGAGUCGCGUAGGGUAAAAAAUAUGAUAAACAAGAUCAACAAGGAAAGGCGGCGUUCAAUGAACGCACAUAAUUGCACUUGUAUACAUAUUUCAAACAUUUGAGUAGAUACAAUAAUUUUGCUUGGUCAUUUGUUAGCUAUUGAAUGCUAUUAUUUGUUUCUUAAAUAUUUUCUAUAGGAAAACAUUAUUUCAUAAUGAUUAUAUAAUAGAAUAAUAAGAGUUUCUCAUUUCUGAAAAAGAUCCCUUCUAAUAGCCAAAAUAUGAUAAACAAGAUCAACAAGGAAAGGCGGCGUUCAAUGAACGCAACCCCCAAGUUUCACUUUAGAAAAAUCUCCAUAACUCGUAAACCAUACGGUAAACUUUGUUUAAAUUUUGCAUUCUUGUGUCUUUUAAGGUAUAUAACUGACCUAUGUUGUCAAUUUUAUAGUUCCUUAUAGUGCCCAUUAAGGGGCUCAUACCUUAAAUGCACGGGGAGAUUUUCACAGCCGCCACACGGCACAAAUAACACAGAUGUGAUCAUAAAAUAGGUAAAUACAGAAUCCCUAAAGAAAGCACAAAACCGCAAAAUUGAAAAUGGUGCAGGCUCGGUUUGAUUUAGCCUGUUCAUGGACGGUACUGCAUUGGUUGAUGUACAACGUUUAGCUUCCAGCAUGUGGUUUUGACUCCUGUUUGUUUGUUUGGAUUUUUACGGCACGUCAACACAUAACUGGCCAUAUCGUGCCGAAUGCUAUAAUAGGCUUAAAAUGUUAUGUUUAACUUUGUAAAUGACAAUUAGAUCCUAGAAUACAAGUUUAUCUCUUUCAAAUAAUCAAUUAUGUUUUUUGAUGGAAUUGUAUUAAAAAGUUCUUUGAGCGAAUUUACAGAAUAAAAUCUAUUACGAGCCUGUGAAAAAUCAUGACAUUCAAGAAGAAAAUGCUUGACAGUAAAAUUUUCAUUACAACCUACACAGAAAGGGGUAUUUUCAUUUUAGUGUGUCCAAUUCGGCAUCGAAGAAGAACUGUUUGAUCACGUCGGUUUGACAGAGAUAAAGAUGGUGACACAACAAGAGAUUGGUUUAUAUCAAACCGAGCCUGCAACAUUUUCAAUUUUGCCGUGUUGGGCUUUCUUUAGGGAUUCUGUAUUUAUCUAUUUUAUAUCGUGAAGUUUAUUAAAAACGGCAUUGUCCCAAUUUGCUUUCCAUUCAGAUGAUACGAGUUUAUUUAUAGCCGGUCUAAAAUCACAAGCAGUUUUUUGAAAAUUUAAUGAUUGUUUAGCUAAAAUAUGAUAAACAAGAUCAACAAGGAAAGGCGGCGUUCAAUGAACGCAACCCCCACAUGACCCAGCAACAAUAACCAACGGCAAGGAGCCCAGGGGGACCCCAAACAAAAACAGGACAGGGCAAAGACAGAGCACGGACAGGCCAAUCAUUAAAUGAUAAUUAAUUUGUAACUGAUUAGGAAUUCAAAGAAAAUAACCUAGGCCCACAAAGAGGAAGGGGACAGGAGACCGGGGGGAGGGGGUGGGGAGUAAUCAAAGAAACAAAAACUAGAGGCAAUGGGGAAGAUACUUACCGUAGACGAGAAAACAACAAGGGACACAAGCAAAAGUGUCACCAAAACAGUAUGAAACAACAUGGACAUACAUCUGAGGAACACAGUGGGGCGCCGCCUUGGAACGGUCAGCAGCAUAAUAAUGACUGCUGGGGAGUUUAAACCGGUUAAUGGUGCACCAAACCUCGCUCUUAGCCCCACCAUGUUCCACCAUGUUCCUAUAAACGAGACAGUGUAAAUAAAAUGAAUCCCCGCCAAGUGAAAUUCUAACAGUUGUCAUGGUUACAAAAGGUUAAAUAGGUAAAACACUAAAAUGAUCAUGUAGAAACAUAUAAAAGUAAACCCAAUGACCAUAACAAAGGUACUCAAUGUCCUAAAGGAAGACAGAGCAACAAGAAAAUCACCUACAAGGGCCCGACGAAGCAAGGCAGAAGACGAACAUUAAGACAAUUCAGCAUCUACUUUUUCAUUUCCUCGUAUUCCCACAUGACUUGGAAUCCAAUAUAAUUUAACAUAUUUUGUGUUUAGUAUAUCAUGAAAUCGUAAAAGAAGUUUCUUUACCAUGAUAUUGUCAGAUUUUAUAUUUUUAAUGGAUAUUAAAACAGAAAGCGAGUCAGAAAAUAUCACAAAUUUAUCGUGGGUAUGCUGUGCUAUGUAUGACAAUGCUAAAUCGAUAGCUUUUGCUUCAGCAGUAAAAAUUGAUGCAUUAUCUGGUAACCUCAUACUAGAUGUAAAAUUAUUUUCAAACACAGCCGCACCUACUUUGCAACCUUCUUUUGAACCGUCAGUUUAAAUAUGUAUAAAAGCUCGAGCGAAUCUAAUUAACUGAGAUAAAAUAGUAUGAAACAACAUUGACAUACAUCUAAGGAACACAGUGGGGCACCGCCUUGGAACGGUCAGCAGCAUAAUAAUUACUGCUGGAGAGUUUUAACCGGUUAAUGGUUCACCAAACACUUCUGCGACAAGGAAUUAGCCAGCCUGAUUUUUACGGGGAUUUUGUUUACUUCGUUAGAUCUUUGGUCAUUGUAAUUUUGCUGUUGUGUUUACUAAAAUUUUUAAACGUUUUAAUAAAAGUAGUUAUGACCCUAUUAUUUUAAGACAUACCGCAGGCCUAGUGUUCAACCCAUAUACAGUUGGACACUACGCUUUCCUCUUUUGAUUACAUAUGACGGAUCAAGUGGGAGACUCUACGAUGGACAGUUCUUAAAGCCCUUUGGGACGGAAUUGCCUUAAUGUUUGUCUUCUUUCUUGCUUCGUCGGGAUCUUGUGGGUGAUUUUCUUGUUGCUCUGUCUUUCUUUAAGACAUCGAGUACUUUUGUUAUGGUGAUUGGGUUUACUUUAAUAUGUUUCUACAUGAUGAUUUUAGUGUUUUACUUAUUUAACUUUUGUAACAACUGUUAGAAUUUCACUUGGCGGGGAUUCAUUUUAUUUACACUGUCUUGUUUAUAGGAAUAUGGUGGGGCUAAGAGCGAGGUUUGGUGCACCAUUAACCGGUUUAAACUCCCAAGCAGUAUUUAUGCUGCUGACCAUACGAAGGCGGCGCCCCUCUGUGUUCCUCAGAUGAAUGUCUAUGUUGUUUUAUACUGUUAUGGUGACAGUUUUAUGUCUCUUGUUUAUUUCUCGGCUACGGUAUACUGAUUUUAUCGACCUGUCAAUUAUGAAUACAUUAUAGCACUCAUUUAGAUAUUCGAUCCCACUUCUGGUUUGUCCGUUUAUUUUACGAGAAUCGAUAUGGAGUAUAUCACAAACGGUUGGAAACUCCCACUAGCUUGAUGUAGGUUUCCGUUACAUCCGCAAUAGCUCAGUCGGUUAAGUGAUUAUCUAAUGCCUUAGAGAUCCGGGGUUUGAUCCCUACUUGACAUUCUUUUUAGACUAAUUCGUUCUUUAUCUUAAGUAUAUUUUAAUGAAAAUGUUCUAGCGCUUGCAAUAUUGUCUAGUACAGGGAUAUUAAACAAAUAAGAAACACUGAUCGAAUUGUCACGUUAAAUGAUGUAUUUUAAGGCACUGAAAUGACAUUCAUUGAUUUUAAUCCGAAUGAAUUUUCAAUAUUAAUUCUUUAACAAUGUUAUAUACAAAAGUAUAGUAUUUACAAACAAGUGCAAAACAGAUUUAAAAAAAAAGAACAAACGUUACUUAAAAUGAUGAAAAUAGUUAUAAAUAAGAAAAAAAACCUGGGUUUACGCGGUCUCGAUCAUACAACACAUAGGACAUUUAGAUAUUUUACACCCGUAGUUUACCCUAUUGCGCUAUAACGGUCAGUGUAACUAAUUCAUAGAAACAAGACGAAUCCAAUUACAUCUUACUGCGUUUCUUUCACGGAAUUUACCGAAGAUUUAUCGAUUAUUAAUAUAUUAUGUGCAUAGACCGUUUAGUAAGUAUGGAAUUGACAGGUUAAUAAAAUCAAACAAUAAGUAUCUUCCCCUUUGCCCCUAGUUUUUAUUUAUUUUAUUUAUUCCUGCCCCCUUCCCUGUGCCUUUUGACUUUAUGGGCCUAAUCUUCAAUUAUGUAUUUGUUUUCUUUUAGUUCAUUAUCAGUUACUAAUUAUUUAUUCUUAUGUAGUGGUUUGCCUGCCAGUGCUCUGCCUUAUGCCCUGUCCUUUUUUUGUUUGGGGUCCUCCUGGGCUCCUUGCCACUGACGCUUGUUACUGGGUCGGGUGAGGGCUGCGUUCAUUGAACGCCGCCUUUCCUUGUCGAUCUUGUUUAUCAUAUUUUAUUUGGUGCAGACAAGCUGUUAGAGGAUCUUUUGCAAUUGACCGUAACGUACGACCUUUACCUAGCAACACCGUUCUUUCGAAUGACACGCCUUCUCGUUAUUGUGAACAUAUUAAGUUACAUUUUUUUUUUAAUUUUGCCUUCUUAUUACAAAAUAGAUAGUAAUAAACAAAAUUGAUAAUGUUUGCAGGCUCGGUUUGAUUGAGACAGUUCAUGGACGGUAUUAGAAAGUGCAAUUUAGCGUCCACGCCCUAGCACCGGCUUGGCUAGAAUUCAACAUUUAAUUAUAGUAAAGUUAUAUCCCUCACAAGAAUAACUGGACGGACGCACACACCAAACCGAUGUUUAGCUUUGUGCAAGCAGGUUGAGGUAUAAGUAUUUCAGCUAUUGUUAGCGUGCGUGAUCAUCAGAGGCGACUAGAUGUGGUCAAUUUAGUGGAACCCCCUUGUGUGGAGGUACGUUUAUAACACCCGAGAGUAGCCAAAUUAUCUUUAUUUAUAUAUUUGACCUUAAUUAUGUUGGUGCGCCGUAAAACCAAACUCUGUUAAUCUCUCAUAAACAAACUAAAUCAAACCGAAUGGGCAAUAGUAUUUUUCUCCCUGCUCCGGAAAUGUCACCUUUUGUACACAAUAUUUACUACAUAUAUAUCUUUAUUUUUCUACUUGGCUUAAUCUCAAUUUGUAAAUGUUUAGUACACUGGCAGUGAUAAACAAAUGCUGAAGAUUUGGCGCCGGAAUGUUCGUAACGACCGUAAAUGCAUAACAUUGAAAACAAAAUAGAUAAAUACAGAAUCCCUAAAGAAAGCCCAACACGGCAAAAUUGAAAAUGUUGAAAACAAUACUUGCCUUGUUCAUAAUUUAUAUAUUAACUAUAAAUUAUACAAAGGAGUGUAAUCUUAUUCGCUUAUAUAUUUUCCACAAAAAAGAAUUUAGAUGGUUUCAUUUUCUCUCCUUUUUUGCAUUUUAUCUGGUUACGUCAUUGUUUAUACUAUAUUUACAAAUAAACAGUAAAUAUCACAUGUUUACGUUUCUGUUGUUCACUUGUGUUGAAAACAUUUGCCCGAGUCAAGGCAUCGAAAGGUAUCUUAUGUCUGUCUCCGCCAGUAAAUCGUGGGAGUCACCAUGACCUAUACUGUGUUUGUCCGCCGUAAAACCCAACCAAAUUCAAUAUUUUAAUAACGGUAUAUACGGCAAUAAGUAAUGCAGUCAUAACAAUAUGUAAGUGUCAGUAUUUUUCUAACAUUGUGUAGUUAUCAACAAUAUUAACUAUAAUAUGAAAAGAAACGGAGAAACUGAUACAUAUAUCUAAUAAAGUUCUAAGAAAAACCGUUUUGUAGGUGAUUUUCUUGUUGCUCUGUCUUCUUCCUUUAGGACAUUGAGUACUUUUGUUAUGUCAUUGGGUUUACUUUCAUAUGUUUCUACAUGAUCAUUUUAGUGUUUUACUUAUUUAACCUUUCGUAACCAUGACAACUGUUAGAAUUUCACUUGGCGGGGAUUCAUUUUAUUUACACUGUCUCGUUUAUAGGAACAUGGUGGGGCUAAGAGCGAGGUUUGGUGCACCAUUAACCGGUUUAAACUCCCCAGCAGUCAUUAUUCUGCUGCUGACCGUUCCAAGGCGGCGCCUCACUGUGUUCCUCAGAUGUAUGUCCAUGUUGUUUCAUACUGUUUUGGUGACACUUUUGCUUGUGUCCCUUGUUGUUUUCUCGUCUACGGUAAGUAUCUUCUCCAUUGCCUCUAGUAUUUAUUUCUUUAAUUGCACCCCCUUUCCCCGGUCUCCUAUCCCCUUCCUCUUUGUGGGCCUAUUAUUAUUUUCUUUGAAUUCCUAAUCAGUUCCAAAUUAUUUAUCAUUUAAUGAUUAACCUGUCCGUGCUCUGUCUUUGCCCUGUCCUGUUUUUGUUCGGGGUCCGCCUGGGCUACUUGCCGUUGGUUCUUGUUGCUGGGUCAUAUGGGGGUUGCGUUCAUUGAACGCCGCCUUUCCUUGUUGAUCUUGUUUAUCAUAUUUCAUAUGAUUAAAAUUGAGUAUUAAGUAAUGGUCAACUGUCAUUGUACAAUGCAUUAGCCCGGGUGUAUUGCACGAGUCAUGGCUUGGGCUGUGUUGGUAGGCCGUAAAACCAAAUUAAACAGGAGUUAUCACUUUGUUUCCAGAUUUUUAUAUUGACCAAAAAAGCGUAACAUUUCUUAUGUGUGCAUUGGGCAGUAUCAGAAAAAGGUUGCUAGAGUGGCGAUUAUGCAUAGACCGUUACUGUAUGGUCAUAUUUAUUUCGUUUACAGUAGAAUAUUAUAGCCCACGGGCAAACAUUGCUACAUUUUAAAUCUUGUUUGGGUUUAACGGCACAUAACUGGCCACACCGCACCGAACAUUAAAAUUGCUAACAAAAGAUUAUUAAACGUAAUAUAUCGGUUAGUAUAACUUAAAGGUUAUAACAUGAGUUAAUAAAUCUUAGACAACAGGUUUAAUUUAUCAAGUGCCCGAUCAUAAUGAUUUUGGAUUUGUAUGAUACACAGUGUACAGAAGCUCGCAACUCUGUAAAUGUGGGAAAAUAUGGAUGAUAGAAAUGUUUUGAACAUAUAUGUUUUACGCCUUUUCCAACAUGAUUGUACAUGUAAUGAAUGCCAAUAUUGAUACAUGAGCAAGAAAUAGCCAUACGAAGAUAAAAUAUGAUAAAGUCCGCCUUAAUAUAAAUAAUCACUUUAGGUUUUUUGUUAAGGAAAAAAAUAGUCAGAAAUAAAAAAAAUGAAGGGUUUAUAAAAAUAAACAAAAGGGCCAUGAUGGCUUAAAAUCGCUCACCUGAGUCGGAGUAUUUGGGUUUUUAUAAAAAAAAUUAUUUCAUAUUCACUAUAUGCACUAUAUGCAUACAAAGAAAAUCAAAGAUCCCAGGGCAAAUCUUGACCCCAGGGCCGGACGGACGCCGCACGAAAUGCGAUCACAAACGCUUACUCUGUCACUUUGUACCAGGUGAGGUAAAAAGAAACACGUUCUUUAUAAAAAAUCUCGCAUCAUACAAGUUAAAGGAUAUUUAGACUGGCCCCUCUGGCGUCUUGUGCUUAUAUUCGGGAACACCUGCUUCAAUACUUUGCCGAAGUCGGCGUAACGUAAUAGAGGUAUAUUGGGCUGUUGGUCUGGAUCAAUGCUGGUUACAAGCGCAUUACGUUGGUUUUGCCAUGGCGCAGUUCAUAAUUUUUAUAUUCAACUCAUUCAACUCACAACAGUACAUACCUCCAUCUCCGGGUUAUUCCUUUUUUGCAGACCCUGAUGGUAAUACGUAAAUUUUUGUUAAGAAGAACAAUGUUACCAUAGCAAAUCUUUCUAACAGCUUCUUCCUACGAUCAGUUUCUUUUGUAUAGAGGUCAAGUCAGAGGUCAAAUCAAGUCAGAGGUCAAAUCUGAGGUCAAGUCAGAGGUCGAGUCAGUGGUGACACCAGCCUGCACUUAUGCAGUCAAGUCAGCCAGGGUUUUCAUUUUCAUGUGAGGCAACAGAUGUGCCAACGAAAAUAAACCAAUUUAUUUGGCUAAGUGUCAAGGGGGAUAUUUUGAUCUACAAGCUUAAAAUACAACUGAUUUUAACAUUUCAACAAAUGAUAGUGAUCGCCAAUCUGUAAUUCAUGAAAAUGCUGAAGUCAACCUUAAUUUAAGCAGUCCAGCCAGCCUGUAUUUACCAGGUCAAGUCAGCCUGCCCUUUCACAAGUGUUACUAGACUAAUCUGUGUGUCAUUUGCCAAAUUUUAGGAAUCGAAAUUCUUCCCAAUAACAUCAGGGCUUAGUCUGCUUAGCGCAUAUGUGACGUAAUUGGCAAUAAAAAAUAUAUAUUUAACUAUACAAUUGCAAGUAGUAACUAACCAGUUAAUUUAAUUUUGCAAGGAGUUUAGGGGCCAAAAUAUGGAUCCAUGCAAGUGAUUUUUUUCUCCAUUGUUUAAUGAAAUUCCACAAUUGUCAAAUUCUAGUAAGUUGUGCUAAAAAUAGAUUUUUACACUUUUGCCCAUACAGCUUUUAUUUAUUGACAGUUGUAUUUCAUAUUUGGUAGGAAGAUAACUUGCAUGGUAUUCUUCCUUUGGAUGGAGUAAGGGGUCAGUUGGGUCAAGGUCACAAGUGCUAAAAAUAGAUUUUUACACUUUUGCCCAUACAGCCUUUAUUUAUUGACAGAUGUAUUUCAAAUUUGGUAGAAAGAUAACUUACAUGGUAUUCUUCUUUUGGAUAGAGUUAGGGGUCGGUUUGGUCAAGGUCACCAGUGCUCAAAAUAGAUUUAUACACUUUUGCCCAUACAGCCUUUAUUUAAUGACAGUUGUAUUUCAUAUUUGGUAGGAAGAUAACUUGCAUGAAGUUGAAUAUUUUUCAACAUCACAAGUCAGAGCAAUGACUUGGCAACUUAUAUUUUUCACAAUUACAAAAUGCCAUGACUUUGUCAAGCUAUAAAACUUGUGUUUACAAUUUUUUGGCGAUUUUUCCGUCCAUAACUGAGUGAAUGGGUAAGCAUAUUUUGAAGUAUUGCUACUGACAAGAAUCUGAGCCGGGGGCAUUUGUGUUUAACAAACACGUUCUUGUUUCUUAACAAAUUAACAAGGUUAAUUAUUUAAUGCAAUUUAAUAAGAAAUUGAAGUGUACUUUUUUCAUUGUUUCACGGAAUCGUUUAAUACUGUCCUAAACUUAUGAACAUACAUUAAGCUUCAUUUUAAAAACGUGUUUCACUAGAACUAUGUCGGUGUGCCGUGAAACCAACCAAACAAACACAAUCGACUUUGAGACCUUGUGUCAUUCAGUUGAUUUAUAGUUGAUGUUGGCAUACAGGGAUGCCCUGGACAGUACGUAUAAUGAUACUUCCUUAAUAUCUAAAUGUUGAAUACUGCUUUAACCAGUAUAAAGGGACGUUGACAGUAACUUGCACUUCUAAUAAACUCAAUCAAACCGAGCCUGUAACAUCUUCAAUAUGGUCGUUUUGUGCGUUCAAUUGAGCUUCUUUUUUUCUUUUCUUUUUUCUCGCACAUCGACCUUAUAACCGAUCGAUCGUUACCUAUACACAACAAUGACUCCCUAGCACUGCAUUAAGCCUAUUUUUUAUAAGACAUUAUUCAUUGUUACAAAUUGCAUUAUGAUUUAUGCUCUCUGGACAAUGCUAGUGUAGGUUAAAAUUGACAAUGAUAGAAAGUGGAAAGAUCACCAAAAGUAUGGCAAACAUACAUGCUUAUUUUAAAGUGUAAAACACUUUGUUUAUGUUAUUAUGGAUGCAAAUUUAAUAUGAAAUUUUACAAAUUAACAAGGACAACAUUUUAUUGUAUACCGGUAUUAGAUUUUAUUUACGCAUACAAUUUCAUACUUUUUAAGAUAGUUUACCAGAGAAAUGAAGCGUUGGAAUCUAAAUUUUAAAUGGAAGCAUAUGUUUUCGCUUGUUUCACGUCAUAAUUUAUUCUGUCUAAUUUUCUAAAAAGCUUUAUUUUGAAAACGCUAUUCUCUAGAACUGUGUUAGUGUACCGUAAAACCAUUCUACCUGGCUAUAUAUUUUAUUAUAAAUGAAGUAUUUAUUUGCAUCAUGACCGGUCAAAAUCAACUACGUUUGACAGAAAAUAAGAAAUAAAGUAAAACAUUUUGUUUAUGGUAUGUUGGAUGCAAAUAUCAUAUGAAUAGAUACGUAUCGUUUUUCAAAACAUAUAAUUCACAAGUUCAAUUGAUAAAGCUAUGGCAAAAAUGAAUUGUAUGUUAAUUUGUAUGCCAUGAUUAAUAAAGUGUAUAUGAAAUUGUUAUACAAAAUGUUUACAUAAUGUUAUGAUGCUCACCCUUAAGUUUCAUUUUAGCCGCGUCGUGACAAAACCAACAUAAUGCGUUUGCAACCAGCAUAGAUCCAGACCAGUCUGCGCAUCCGCGCAGUCUGAUCAGGAUCCAUGCUGUUCGCUUACAAGCCUAUAACAAGUAGACAAACUGAUAGUUAACAGCAUGGAUCCUGAUCAGACUGCGCGGAUGCGCAGGCUGGUCUGGAUCCAUGCUGGUCGCAAGCGCUCUAUGUUGGUUUUGUUGUGACACAGCUCAUUUAAUAAAUUUCAUAUAAACAGAAAUAGCGACAUUUCAUUUAUUAAUUGGGUUUUAUAUCGACUCCAGAUUUUAUUAUGGUGUCCUGACAACCAAAAUGAGCUUUAUAAGCAUAAAAAAUGGCAACCUCAUUCUGGCGAAAUCAGAAGUACAAUAUCUCUUUGCAUGAGAAACUCCGCCUUCAGAUCAUCCGUACAUCAAUGUUAAAUCAACAAACAUGACUAUAAGUAGCAGUCCUAAUUUAACGGUAAAUUUCUGCAUUGUAACGGAUGUUUUCAUACAAAUUUAAACUUUUUAUGAGAUGAUUGCUUUUUACUGAACAUCAGGCCUCGUGCACCGUGAAGUUUAACGGUUAACAUGUGUUUGCACAAGAAAAUCUCAUAUUUGUUGUGUUCCGGAUAGCACCUAUACCACUGUGACGUAGCGCUUACACAAGCUUAUUAUAAUCUUCAUUUGCAUGUUAAAAUUCGUAUACGAACUUUAGUGUUACCGUGGGGUUUUCGUUUAUAAUCCUAAUUUAUGAACAAUAUUUGAUGAAAUUUACAACAAUACUAUUCAACAGGUUAAUGAAUCUGUAGAAUGCUUGGUUUUAAGGCCGACGGCAAAACUAUUUUUACAUAUUUAUUUAAUGUAGCUUUACCUCACUGAAUCAUUCAUUGUGAUAUCAUCAACAGAAUAACACAAUUAAAUAUCUUUUUUCUAAACAAAUAAACCAGAUAAGUGUACAUUUUUCACUGUUUCACGGCAUUGUUUAAUACUGCCUUAUACUUCACGAACAUAUAUUGAGCUUUAUUUUGAAAACAUUAUUCACUAGAACUGUGUUUGUGCGCCGCAAAACCAACCAACAAACGCAAUCAACUUUGAGACCUUAUGUCAUUCGGUUGAUUUAUAGUUGAUGUUGGUAUGCAAUGAUGCCAUGGACCGUACGCAUAAUGAUACUUCCUAAAUAUCCAAAUGUUGAAUACUGCUUAAACCGGUAUAUAAGCGGGCGUUGACAGUGACUUGCACUUUCCAACAAGCUCAAUCAAACCGACCCUGCAACAUUUUCAAUUUUGUCGUUUUGUGCGUUCUAUAGAGAUUCUUUACUUCUCUUUUUUAAUUUCUGGUCAUAAAGGCAGAUCAGAAAAGCAUUGAAAAGCAUUGUCACCGUAGAUGAAAGCACGGGGUUAAAUCAAACAAUUUAACAUUUAAAAAAAAAAAAAAAAAAAAAACGAACUAAAUUUAAAUGCGUUUUUGAAAAAGUCAAUGCAAAUGUGAAUCGUUAGGUCAAAAAAAAUAAAAUGUUAAUGUUUCAUAAGACAUCGCGCUUUAAGCGUGCUUAUUUUGUAUUGUAUUAUAUGAUAAAUUUAAAACUAGUCAUUGUUCUCUUAAUGGAAAUAAAUAACGUUCGUAUUGUAAUCUAGUGAAACAAUAAAAGUCAUUUAUCAGGUCAUAUCAUCCUACUACUUGUCAUCUGCGUUUGACACCAAAAUA